RNAcentral lists this ribosomal RNA (465 nucleotides) under Vreelandella stevensii. Its description in RNAcentral is "partial 16S ribosomal RNA". It matches the Rfam family "Bacterial small subunit ribosomal RNA", at positions 338 to 795 of the family's 1533-position model. Lineage: Bacteria; Pseudomonadati; Pseudomonadota; Gammaproteobacteria; Oceanospirillales; Halomonadaceae. The record is from RNAcentral.
CCUACGGGAGGCAGCAGCGGGGAAUAUUGGACAAUGGGGGGAACCCUGAUCCAGCCAUGCCGCGUGUGUGAAGAAGGCCCUCGGGUUGUAAAGCACUUUCAGUGAGGAAGAACGCCUGGUGGUUAAUACCCAUCAGGAAAGACAUCACUCACAGAAGAAGCACCGGCUAACUCCGUGCCAGCAGCCGCGGUAAUACGGAGGGUGCGAGCGUUAAUCGGAAUUACUGGGCGUAAAGGGCGCGUAGGUGGCUUGAUAAGCCGGUUGUGAAAGCCCCGGGCUCAACCUGGGAACGGCAUCCGGAACUGUCAAGCUAGAGUGCAGGAGAGGAAGGUAGAAUUCCCGGUGUAGCGGUGAAAUGCGUAGAGAUCGGGAGGAAUACCAGUGGCGAAGGCGGCCUUCUGGACUGACACUGACACUGAGGUGCGAAAGCGUGGGUAGCAAACAGGAUUAGAUACCCCUGUAGUC